GUUGGUGACCUUUUUUUCGAAUUAUGACAGUAGUUGGUGAUAAGUCCCUGUAAUUGACGUGCAAAUCGAUCGUCAAACGUGAGUAAAGGGGCGAAAUACUAAUCGAACCAUCUAGUAG
RNAcentral lists this non-coding RNA (118 nucleotides) under Schistocephalus solidus. Lineage: Eukaryota; Metazoa; Platyhelminthes; Cestoda; Diphyllobothriidea; Diphyllobothriidae. The record is from Rfam by way of RNAcentral.